RNAcentral lists this ribosomal RNA (256 nucleotides) under uncultured bacterium. RNAcentral's name for it is "partial 16S ribosomal RNA". It matches the Rfam family "Bacterial small subunit ribosomal RNA", at positions 30 to 296 of the family's 1533-position model. The record is from RNAcentral.
AUUGAACGCUGGCGGCAGGCCUAACACAUGCAAGUCGAGCGGGGUUUUCGGACCUAGCGGCGGACGGGUGAGUAAUGCGUAGGAAGCUACCCGACAGAGGGGGGAUACCAGUUGGAAACGACUGUUAAUACCCGCAUAAUGUCUACGGACCAAAGUGUGGGACCCUUGGGCCACAUGCUGUCGGAUGCGCCUACGUGGGAUUAGCUAGUUGGUGAGGUAAUGGCUCACCAAGGCGACGAUCCCUAGCUGGUUUGAG